GACGAACGCUGGCGGCGUGCCUAAUACAUGCCAGUCGAACGAGAGCGACCGGUGCUUGCACUGGUCAAUCUAGUGGCGAACGGGUGAGUAACACGUGGGUAACCUGCCCAUCAGAGGGGGAUAACAUCCGGAAACGGAUGCUAAAACCGCAUAGGUCUUCGAACCGCAUGGUUUGAAGAGGAAAAGAGGCGCAAGCUUCUGCUGAUGGAUGGACCCGCGGUGCAUUAGCUAGUUGGUGAGGUAACGGCUCACCAAGGCCGUGAUGCAUAGCCGACCUGAGAGGGUGAUCGGCCACAUUGGGACUGAGACACGGCCCAAACUCCUACGGGAGGCAGCAGUAGGGAAUCUUCCGCAAUGGACGCAAGUCUAACGGAGCAACGCCGCGUGAGUGAAGAAGGUUUUCGGAUCGUAAAACUCUGUUGUUAGAGAAGAACAAGUGCUAGAGUAACUGUUAGCGCCUUGACGGUAUCUAACCAGAAAGCCACGGCUAACUACGUG
This 498-nucleotide ribosomal RNA is filed under the name uncultured bacterium. RNAcentral's name for it is "partial 16S ribosomal RNA". It matches the Rfam family "Bacterial small subunit ribosomal RNA", at positions 28 to 507 of the family's 1533-position model. The record is from RNAcentral.